GAGGUCAUGAUGUUGAUGGAAUUCAAAUUAAGCCUAAUUCAAAGCACAUAUGGAUAGACCGUUGCAGCCUCCGAGACUAUGAUGAUGGGUUGAUUGAUAUCACCCGAGGAAGCACGGAUAUCACUAUUUCUAGGUGUCACUUCUCACAGCAUGACAAGACAAUGCUCAUCGGAGCAGAUCCCUCUCACAUUGGCGACCGAUGUAUCCGUGUCACUAUCCAC
This 221-nucleotide unclassified non-coding RNA is filed under the name Hevea brasiliensis (rubber tree). The record is from RNAcentral. Lineage: Eukaryota; Viridiplantae; Streptophyta; Magnoliopsida; Malpighiales; Euphorbiaceae.